AAUUAGCGAUCAGCUGCUCGCAACAAGCAAAGAAGAUUGCGAAAAUGGGAAAAAUUGUUUUUGCCUUCCCAAAGAAGAGAGCGCGAAAAACCCGUGGCCUCCUCGCCUCUCCUCCCCUCCUCUGUGUAUGGAGCGGCGCCCAGCGACUGGAUUCCGCGCCGGGAGACUCACCCUGAACGCGUAUGUCGGUCUGGCUCGGUACGUACCCCUUCCUGUCGGGCACCUUCUCACUUUUACCUUUUUCCAGGCAGUUUCACGCACGGAAAAUGAAUUAGACGCUGGAGGAAAAACAAGCGCGUCCGAUCGCUUUCACUCUUCACUUUCCCUCCGGCUGUACAAGUGUGUGAGUACGUGUGUGUGAGUGCCGUGCAUGUGUGCCUGGCCACACUGUUAGACGUUGGACAUUUGGUAAAGUGCGUGUGACGCUGUCGCAGAUGAGUUCAUGCCACAUAACAGAGCAAGUAAUUGCAUUCACACCCCACACAUUUGUCAUUAACGAUGUGUGAUAGCAGUGAGUGAACAAACCCUCGUAUAAUUAUAUAGAAAGGCAGUGCUAGUAAGUAAACUAGUAACUUACAUUUAUUUUUAUGAUGGUUUCCCCCCAUACUAAAUAUGUUCCAAGGAGUG
This 627-nucleotide long non-coding RNA is filed under the name Drosophila guanche. Lineage: Eukaryota; Metazoa; Arthropoda; Insecta; Diptera; Drosophilidae. The record is from RNAcentral.